AUUGAACGCUGGCGGCAGGCCUAACACAUGCAAGUCGAGCGGAUGAAGGGAGCUUGCUCCUGGAUUCAGCGGCGGACGGGUGAGUAAUGCCUAGGAAUCUGCCUGGUAGUGGGGGAUAACGUCCGGAAACGGGCGCUAAUACCGCAUACGUCCUGAGGGAGAAAGUGGGGGAUCUUCGGACCUCACGCUAUCAGAUGAGCCUAGGUCGGAUUAGCUAGUUGGUGGGGUAAAGGCCUACCAAGGCGACGAUCCGUAACUGGUCUGAGAGGAUGAUCAGUCACCCCAGAACCUAACCACCGUCCAGACUCCUACGGGAGGCAGCAGUGGGGAAUAGUGGACAAUGGGCGAAAGCCUGAUCCAGCCAUGCCGCGUGUGUGAAGAAGGUCUUCGGAUUGUAAAGCACUUUAAGUUGGGAGGAAGGGCAGUAAGUUAAUACCUUGCUGUUUUGACGUUACCAACAGAAUAAGCACCGGCUAACUUCGUG
Molecule: ribosomal RNA, 484 nt
Filed under: uncultured bacterium
Lineage: Bacteria
Description: partial 16S ribosomal RNA
Rfam family: Bacterial small subunit ribosomal RNA
Source: RNAcentral